RNAcentral lists this transfer RNA (71 nucleotides) under Prototheca zopfii. RNAcentral describes it as "tRNA-Cys". It matches the Rfam family "tRNA". From Rfam's summary of the family: Transfer RNA (tRNA) molecules are approximately 80 nucleotides in length. Their secondary structure includes four short double-helical elements and three loops (D, anti-codon, and T loops). Lineage: Eukaryota; Viridiplantae; Chlorophyta; Trebouxiophyceae; Chlorellales; Chlorellaceae. The record is from RNAcentral.
GGUUCAAUAACAUAAUGGUAAUGUUUUAGAUUGCAAAUCUAAGAAUGACAGUUCAAAUCUGUCUUGGACCU